UGCUGUGUAUAUUGGCUACAGUAGGUUCAGAUUCACUAUUAGGAGUAGGAUGCACCUAGAUGCAAUCUAUCGACUUUGAUAGAAAAAGAGAAGUCCUAUAUGAUUUACAAGACUGAGUUCAGAAAGUUUUUGGUCAAAGUAAACGUGAAUACUGAAAAAAAAAGUUUAUGAGAUUCAUAAGGAAACUCGAGUCAAGUCAAUCUGACAUAUGACUGAUAAUGGGGUCUGACAAGUUCUCCAUGAUCUCCAUCAAGAUGGAACUCAUGAUAAAAAAAUUGAAUCAUACAAUAACUGCACCU
Molecule: long non-coding RNA, 299 nt
Filed under: Elaeis guineensis (African oil palm)
Lineage: Eukaryota; Viridiplantae; Streptophyta; Magnoliopsida; Arecales; Arecaceae
Description: long non-coding RNA (EGUI_LNC044473)
Source: RNAcentral